Molecule: non-coding RNA, 94 nt
Filed under: Sphingomonas sp.
Lineage: Bacteria; Pseudomonadati; Pseudomonadota; Alphaproteobacteria; Sphingomonadales; Sphingomonadaceae
Also listed under: 1 other name
Description: Glycine sequence
Rfam family: Glycine riboswitch aptamer
About the family: This family represents the bacterial glycine riboswitch. Glycine riboswitches usually consist of two metabolite-binding aptamers domains with similar structures in tandem.
Source: RNAcentral
GCUGGCCAUGCGGGAGAGUGCAAGGGCGCAAGCUCGAGCCGCCGAAGGAGCAACCGCCCCGGAAUCUCUCAGGUCAACGGACCGCAUGGACAGG